Long non-coding RNA from Carassius gibelio (silver crucian carp), 476 nucleotides. RefSeq lists it as uncharacterized. NCBI's taxonomy places the organism in Eukaryota, Metazoa, Chordata, Actinopteri, Cypriniformes, Cyprinidae. The record is from RefSeq and is a predicted model, not a curated record. The transcript has 3 exons.
AAUACGAGGACGCCGCGUCCACAUUGCAGCGCGCGAGACGUCGAACCAAAUUCGAAUUCUCUCGAUAAAAACACAACCGCGUCGCCUGACACGAGCACGCUUUCAGAUGAAGACAGAUUAAUUCAUAAACUCCAUCUGGACGCAUGCAAGGAGCGAUGUAGUUUGAUGACCGAGGGAAAGCAAAGUAAACCGUCUCUGGGGAAAGUUAUGGAAGACACGUAGAGUUGGAGGAUGCAGUGUCUGCUUCACUAUGGAGCCAUAGGAUGGCAUCUGAAAUGGCAUGCCACAAAAAGUGCCCCGAGCCUUUUUGGCAUCGAAGGCUGUCAUAAAUGUAGCCCCCACUCUUUGAGGAAGAGUCAGGAUCAGAAAUUAUUAAUCAGAAAAGAACAUACGUUGACCCUAUAACCGGCUACAAUGUGUUUACUGAGUUUGCCCAUAGGAAAAGAGGAAGAUGUUGCGGGACUGCCUGCAGACAU